Vicia faba (fava bean) is the source of this 348-nucleotide non-coding RNA. The record is from the annotation of a GenBank genome assembly. Lineage: Eukaryota; Viridiplantae; Streptophyta; Magnoliopsida; Fabales; Fabaceae.
AUGUCACCCAAGAAAAAUCCCACCCAACAAAAGCCUCGCCACAGUAGUCGAGUGGACCCAACAUUUCCCCAAUCAUUAUCCAUUCAUAAGGUGCCAGAUGGAUCUAGCAUGCCCCGACCUAUGUCUUCUGAGGAUGAUCAUGGAGAUACCAGUGCUCCUGGAGAUAUCAGGGAUCAAGAAGAUACAAGUUCUACUGAGGAGCAAACAAGGAUGAAGCGCAUCUUGAGAAGAAAUAAGUCGCAAAAAGUUAGAUAUUAUCAUAGCAGACUUGUCAUUUGGGCCGAUUUUGGAUCGUGCAAGGAAAGGGCUGAUUCGAAGACCGUUGCUUUGGCGCAAGGAAAUGGCUGA